AUUGAACGCUGGCGGCAGGCCUAACACAUGCAAGUCGAGCGAGCGGCGGACGGGUGAGUAAUGUAUGGGGACUGCCCGAUAGAGGGGGAUAACUCCUGGAAACGGUAGCUAAUACCGCAUACUAUCGGAUAACCCAUAUGGGAUUAGCUAGUAGGUGAGGUAAUGGCUCACACCGGCGACGAUCCCUAGCUGGUUUGAGAGGACGACCAGCCAAACGGGGACUGGGACACGGCCCAGACUCCUAGGGAGGCAGCAGUGGGGAAUUUGGGAAAAUGGGGGAAACCUUGAUCCAGCAAGCCCGGGUGUAUGAUGAGGGCCUUCGGGUUGUAAAGUACUUUUGGCAGAGAAGCGUUAUCGGCAGAAUAAGCACCGGCUAACUACGUGCCAGCGGCCGCGGUAUAC
This 402-nucleotide ribosomal RNA is filed under the name uncultured bacterium. RNAcentral describes it as "partial 16S ribosomal RNA". It matches the Rfam family "Bacterial small subunit ribosomal RNA", at positions 30 to 526 of the family's 1533-position model. The record is from RNAcentral.